Molecule: ribosomal RNA, 300 nt
Filed under: uncultured Planctomycetota bacterium
Lineage: Bacteria; Pseudomonadati; Planctomycetota
Description: bacterial SSU rRNA
Rfam family: Bacterial small subunit ribosomal RNA
Source: RNAcentral
AAUGAACGUUGGCGGCGUGGAUUAGGCAUGCAAGUCGAGCGCUCAUAGCAAUAUGGGAGCGGCGAACGGCGUAGUAAUACGUAGGAACGUACCCUCGGGUCGAGGAUAGCUAUGGGAAACUGUAGGUAAUACUCGAUAACCUCUGCGGAGCAAAGGUGUGAUUCCGCCCGAGGAGCGGCUUACGCGAUAUUAGCUAGUUGGUAGGGUAAUGGCCUACCAAGGCGAUGAUGUCUAGGGGGUGUGAGAGCAUGGCCCCCACGACCGGAACUGAGAUACUGUCCGGACACCUACGGGUGGCAG